CAGGCUCACUACAAGACUCUCUCCUGGAUCUUGAUGUGCUAUUCGCUAUCUUUGGCAAGUUGGAUGGACAGCAUGGUUAGGCCCUGCUCAUGUCCCCACCAGUUGUAAUUUGAAGGGAUGGCAGGCUGAUGAACUCAUGAAUCAUUCCAUUGCAGGUCGUUGGCCUCAAGCUGGGGUUUGUUUGAGCCGAUGGCAGCAUCAGUGACACCCAGAAGUUUGGCAGGAGGCAACAAUGGAUGUCUUGCGGCUCAUUUCUCAGCUGGCUGGCUAGAGACUAUAGUGCUUCAUGCACAAUGAGGGCUGUAUGCAGGCUGUGGAGAGCAGGAGUGGCCGGCCUGCCCCUUGUUCAUACAGAUUCUCCCUGAUGGAGCCUAGCCUGACAGUGACCUCGCAUCAUGCUAGCCAGCAGCUCUACUUGGCUCUGCAAGGAGAACGACGCCAGGUGGUUCUCACAAUGCGUCCAAGAGGAACUGAAUAUUACAUUGGAUGCCAGCCUCAGGGCUAUAUGCAGGCUGUGGAGAGCAGGAGAGCCCAGCC
RNAcentral lists this long non-coding RNA (537 nucleotides) under Fukomys damarensis (Damara mole-rat). RNAcentral describes it as "lncRNA (ENSFDAG00000023198.1)". The record is from RNAcentral. Lineage: Eukaryota; Metazoa; Chordata; Mammalia; Rodentia; Bathyergidae.